UGAAAGCCACAGGGCAGCAGGGGAAGAGUUGAACCUAUAACCAUCUGCCAUCGAAUUAAGGCACCUGCCUACAGUACAGACCAGCUACUCCCAAGUGUUCCACUCCCUCCGCCAAGUGAGGAUCUUCCUAACGCUUAGGAGGCCUUCGGAAGGACAACAGAAUAAGGAAUGGGAGGAGCAGUCAGGAAAAGAGGGAGGCAGAAGUAAAGGGGCUGUGUCUGUCCUGAGCCUGGAGCCACCAUCGGAGAGGAUGGAGAGCAUGAAGAGCAGGAACUCAACCUUAACCCUGCCUUGAACCCAGCUUCCAGUCCAGACCUGGGGGCAGCACACAUCUGUCCCUGGCUGGAGGAGAGGAGUGCACACGGCAGUCCAACCAGGCAUGAUUUCAGCGGGAUGAUCUCCACAAUAGAAGUAUGGUACCCUGAGACCAUGUGGAAAACACUGGCUGAUGUACCAUGGCUGACGGUGGCUGGAGACAAAAUCACGGGACUCCUGUGCUCCGGAAGGUGCCCCUCUUUCUGGCUGUCUGCUCUUGGCCUCUCAGAUGCUCUAGCUAUUGGAAGAGGACUCCCCAGCCUCCCCUGAAAACUUCCAGCUUUCCAGGGAUCCUGAGACAGGAAGCGAGCAAGUGGCCUGCAAAAGGGAGCAGCAAAUCUGGCGUGUUUUGCCAGGGAUGGUCCCAUCCUGAGGCCUGGAGAAUAAGACUUCCACAAAUGGAUCUGGCCGAACAUGAUUCAACACAGAACGCAUUGUUUCCAUAGAUGAGAGGCUUUGCUCCCUCAAGCCCUUCCACCAGGAUGUUCUGCUUCACUGCAUACCCACAAACAAAAGAUCCAGGUGACCAUUGACUGAAACUUCUGCAACAUAAGCCAAAACAAAACUUUCCUCACUUAAAUUGUUUUUCUCAGGUAUUUUCUUACAGCAAAGGAAAACUGACAGGCAUGGGGCCCUUGAGAGAUGAUUAGCUCAUGAGUGUAGAAACAUCCCCAAUGAUAUCCAACCCUGUGAAGAGACUCCAGAAACUCCCACUACCCCAUCUGCCAUAGACACAGUGAGAAGGUACCCACAAGCCAGAAAUGGGACCACACUAGACACCAAACACACAGGUGCCUUGACCUCUGGCUUCCCCAGUUCAUAGUUCCUCCGGAACUAUGAACAAUUGAUUGCUGAUUUUUAUAUGCAAUCAGGCCGUGGCAUUUUGUUAGAGUGGCCUGAAUGAAUCAAGACAGCACUGGGAAGAAGUGGGAGGACCGUUGUAACAAAUUCCUUCUGUAGUAGAAGCAACUUUGGAUAUGGGUAGUAAGUCAAUGCUGGAAGAGCUUUGGCCUCAUGCUAGAAAAGCCUGCAUUGCCAAGAAAUGACACUUAAAGGUGAGUGUAGUGCCAACGCAAAAGAAAAAAAAAAUGAAGAAGAAGGAGAAGGGGAAGAAGAAGGAGAAGGAGAAGCAGAAAGAGAAG
This is a long non-coding RNA of Chinchilla lanigera (long-tailed chinchilla), 1457 nucleotides long. RefSeq lists it as uncharacterized. The transcript is spliced from 6 exons. NCBI's taxonomy places the organism in Eukaryota, Metazoa, Chordata, Mammalia, Rodentia, Chinchillidae. The record is from RefSeq and is a predicted model, not a curated record.